Molecule: ribosomal RNA, 496 nt
Filed under: uncultured bacterium
Lineage: Bacteria
Description: partial 16S ribosomal RNA
Rfam family: Bacterial small subunit ribosomal RNA
Source: RNAcentral
AUGAACGCUGGCGGCGUGCCUAAUACAUGCAAGUCGAGCGAACAGACGAGGAGCUUGCUCCUCUGACGUUAGCGGCGGACGGGUGAGUAACACGUGGAUAACCUACCUAUAAGACUGGGCUAACAUCGGGAAACCGGAGCUAAUACCGGAUAAUAUAUUGAACCGCAUGGUUCAAUAGUGAAAGACGGUUUUGCUGUCUCUUAUAGAUGGAUCCCCGCCUGAUUAGCUAGUUGGUAAGGUAACGGCCUACCAAGGCAACGAUACGUAGCCGACCUGAGAGGGUGAUCGGCCACACUGGGACUGAGACACGGUCCAGACUCCUACGGGAGGCAGCAGUAGGGAAUCUUCCGCAAUGGGCGAAAGCCUGAUGGAGCAACGCCGCGUGAGUGAAGAAGGUCUUCGGGUUGUAAAACUCUGUUAUUAGGGAAGAACAAAUGUGUAAGUAACUAUGCACGUCUUGACGGUACCUAAUCAGAAAGCCACGGCUAACUACGUG